CCUACGGGAGGCAGCAGUGGGGAAUAUUGGACAAUGGGCGAAAGCCUGAUCCAGCCAUGCCGCGUGUGUGAAGAAGGUCUUCGGAUUGUAAAGCACUUUAAGUUGGGAGGAAGGGCAGUAGCUUAAUACGUUGCUGCUUUGACGUUACCGACAGAAUAAGCACCGGCUAACUCCGUGCCAGCAGCCGCGGUAAU
Molecule: ribosomal RNA, 194 nt
Filed under: uncultured bacterium
Lineage: Bacteria
Description: partial 16S ribosomal RNA
Rfam family: Bacterial small subunit ribosomal RNA
Source: RNAcentral